This 430-nucleotide long non-coding RNA is filed under the name Mus pahari (shrew mouse). Its description in RNAcentral is "predicted gene 16058 (MGP_PahariEiJ_G0002884.1)". The record is from RNAcentral. Lineage: Eukaryota; Metazoa; Chordata; Mammalia; Rodentia; Muridae.
CCUGCCACACCUCUGUGUGGGGUGCAUCCAGGCAGAGAUCCUGUGGUGAGCAGGUGGCCAGAGCCACAAGGGCUGGGGAGAUGGCUCUGUGGUAAAGUCCCUGCUGUCCAAGCGCCAGAACCUGAGUCCAGGUCACCAAUAUCCACAGAAAAGUUGGCUAUGGAAGAUACCAUGCCUGUGACCCUGUCACUGGGGAGGAAGAAACAAGAGGCUCCCUGGGGCUUGUUGUCCAGCCAGUGAGGUUUAGGUUCAGUGAGAGACAAUGACUCAAGAAAAUCAGAGGCAUAGCUCCUCACUUCACACAGAAGCAGCAGUAGUAACCUCUGGUACACAUCCAAGGUGCCACAUGUGCCUGUGACCUGUGGCUUAUGGCAUGGGUGGCUUUGAAUGCAGGCCAAACACAGAACUCAUAAACGUAUUUAAAACAUUA